This 339-nucleotide unclassified non-coding RNA is filed under the name Hevea brasiliensis (rubber tree). Lineage: Eukaryota; Viridiplantae; Streptophyta; Magnoliopsida; Malpighiales; Euphorbiaceae. The record is from RNAcentral.
CCCGCGUGCGGGAGAAAUAUCCAUUAGAUUAUUCAAUUCUUUUUCCAUAUCAUCGUACUUGAAAACCCAUUUCUGUACUCUAAUGCUCCACAAACAAACCAUCACCUCUGAAACUUCACUCUGUUCUUCACAGCUAACAUAAUCUAGAAGCCUUCAUCUGCAACAAAUUCAUCAAUUUUCAGCUCCUUGUCCCAUGUCUGAUCCUUCGUUCUGCUUACCAUUCACAUUAAUUCUAUAAAGAAAGAAUGCAACCAUUGCGCCACUGAUGACGGUUGAGAAAAAGGUCAAAAUAGAAGCUUUCUGAAACAGCAAUCUUAUCUCCCUAAGAAAGAUUAGGGC